This 440-nucleotide ribosomal RNA is filed under the name uncultured bacterium. RNAcentral's name for it is "partial 16S ribosomal RNA". It matches the Rfam family "Bacterial small subunit ribosomal RNA", at positions 338 to 795 of the family's 1533-position model. The record is from RNAcentral.
CCUACGGGUGGCAGCAGUGGGGAAUAUUGCUCAAUGGGCGAAAGCCUGAACCAGCAACGCCGCGUGGAGGAUGAAGGUUUUCGGGUUGUAAACUCCUUUUGUUAGGGAAGAAAAUGACGGUAUCUAACGAAUAAUCACCGGCUAACGCCGUGCCAGCAGCCGCGGUAAUACGGAGGGUGCAAGCGUUACUCGGAAUCACUGGGCGUAAAGAGCGCGUAGGCGGGAAGGCAAGUAAGAUGUGAAAUCCUAUGGCUUAACCAUAGAACUGCAUUUGAAACUGUUAUUCUUGAGUAUGGGUGAGGUAGGUGGAAUUCCGGGUGUAGGGGUAAAAUCCGUAGAGAUCAAGAGGAACACUGAUGGCGAAGGCGACCUGCUAGAACAUAACUGACGCUGAUGCGCGAAAGCGUGGGGAGCAAACAGGAUUAGAUACCCGAGUAGUC